Molecule: ribosomal RNA, 510 nt
Filed under: Disseta scopularis
Lineage: Eukaryota; Metazoa; Arthropoda; Copepoda; Calanoida; Heterorhabdidae
Description: partial 28S ribosomal RNA
Rfam family: Eukaryotic large subunit ribosomal RNA
Source: RNAcentral
UGUGGACGGCCAGUCAAAGUCCAACUUGACAGUGGCCAUGGCCCGUAGAGGGUGAUAGGCCCGUAAGGCGGCUGUCCCGCUGUGCUGACUUUUCCCUAUAGUCCGGUUGCUUGGUAUUGCAGCCGAAAGCGCGAGGUAAACUCCUCGUAAGGCUAAAUAUUACCCCGAGACCGAUAGCAAACAAGUACCGUGAGGGAAGAUUGAAAAGAACUUUGAAGAGAGAGUUCAAGAGUACGUGAAACUGUGUGGUGGUAAACGGAGGGGCUCUCGAAGUUUCUGAGGGGGACUCAACCUUGGUGGUGCUGGGCCUGAGCGUAUUUGAUCAGCAAUGACUUUGCGCUUGGUCUCCGGUGCCUCCCGGACGCACUUUCUCCUCAGUUUACGGCAGGAACCGUUAGGAGUGGACCAAAGGCCCGGGGUGAAGUUGUUGGUUAUGCUGGCAGCCCCUGGUGUCCUGGCUUCGCACCUGACGGGUAUGUGAGCGGACUCGUAUAGCGCGCAAUUGUCUGU